UAUGAUUGGAUAUAUAUAUAUAUAUAUAUAUAUAGUUGAGUUGGAAUACUUUCAAAAGGACCAAAGAUGUGGUACUUUUAAAUUUUUAGCCCUUAGUUGAAGAAAUGUAGAGUUGGGACGAUGGUGAUAGGUGAUGGUAGGUGGAAUAGUGUUUGAUCCAAAGACUAUUAAUUAAUAAUCAAAGAGUAGAUCCAAGGGCUAAAAAUUUAGAAGCACCAAAGGGGUAAUACUUCUAAAAAUAUUCUAGCUCAAUUAUAAAUGAGUCCGGCUGCUAUGCUAUCGAUAGCACCAAACACUUGGUGCUAUCAAGUUUUUUGCUGUUAGAUUAACCCCUUUGAUUAUUUUUAUCCGUUAGAUUAUACUAUUCAAUCAACUAUUCACUCAACCCUAGGGGGCCCACAUCAUCCUAACUGUACAUUUCUUAAUCCGAAGGCUAAAAACUUAAUAGCACCAAUAACUUGGUACUAUUGAUAGUAUUCCAGUCUAGUUCUAUAUAUAUAUAUAUAUAUAUAUAUAUAUAUAGAGAGAGAGAGAGAGAGAGAGAGAGAGAGAGAGAGAGAGAGUUGGGCUUNNNNNNNNNNAGUUAUCUAACAUUAUCUAAAUAGUAUAAAGAAUUUUCUAUCAAAAAUUCAAGCAAUUUGGAUUGCUCUACACCGUUAAACAAGCAAACGGCUCAUACAGGCCGUCAAAAAUUGUCGAUUUUACGACACUUUGAUCACCAUGUAAACCAUUAUCAAAAUUUAUGAAAUUUAGUUUCUAGAUAUUUCAAAUACUCUAGAUCAACUUCAACGACUCCGAUCAUCGAUUCGGAAUCUCGAUCAUCAAGAACCACUUGAUAGGACAAGUGCUCCUAUCCUUUUAGAAGGAUAGUAGCCGGACCCUAUAUAUAUAUAUAUAUAUAUAGUAAUGUAAUUAUAUGAACCUUAUUUUAUAGGAUGUAGUGGAAAAAUUGAUAGUUAUAAGUAAUUUGUUUGGUUUCAUACAAUUAAGAAUGUAGUUUUAAAAUUUUAUUUAUAUUAUAAUAUAUGAUGAAGAGAUUAAAAUCAAUAUAAGUAAUUUAUAUAUAUUUUUUUCUUAUUUAAAAAGUUAUUAGAUAGGUAAAUUUACUUUUUGUUUGAGGGUAUUUUUUUCAACUGUUGUAAUUAGAACUAAGAUCCAUUUGAACGUAAUUCUAUUACUAUAAUUGGGCCUCCUUAUAUAUUUCUGACUACAGCAAUUAAAUACAAAUGUAUCAAAUCACACAUCAAAUUUGAAUCUACAUAUAUCAGUGUUGAUGCAACUAUAUAUGAUCAAAUAGUCCCUAAAGGAUGUUUGAUUCUAUAGAAAAUGAGGGAAAAAAAUUAUUUUAUGUAAUGAAAAAUUAUAAAAUGAGAUUUUUCAUAAUUUUUUUAGAAAAACUAGAAAAACAAAAAGAAGCCUCCUUCGUGAAAUCUAAAAAAACAAAUAAGUAAAAAAUAUUUUGAGAAAAAUAUUUUUUGAAAUAUUUUUUAUGAACCAAAUACCGCUUAAUGCAGUCGACGAGUCAUCACAAGGUGGGCCCGCUGAACAGUAAAUUUCACAUAAAAAUCUGACCAUUUCCCUCUUCCUUUCUAUCAAUGCUUUUGGUGUGCCCCAGGCGCACCACAAACUGUACCCCAAAUUAAAAUUUCUAGAAUAUAUAUAUAUAUAUAUAUAUAAAAGUACGUAUAUUCAAAUUUGGGUCUGCCGACAGACCCAUUUUUCGGCGGAAAAAUUAGCGUCCAUUUUUCUCUUUCCGUACGAAAAGUUUUAAAUAUAAGAAUAAAAAUAGAAAUAGAACAGCAAUGAAUACGUAAGUUAUCUAUAACAGAUUACUGAUGUGAAAAUUCAAAAAUAUAAAUUUUUCUAUUUAAUUUUCAAAGUAAGUUUUCUAUAACAGAUUACGGGUGUGAAAAUCCUAUAAAAGAUAUUUUUUUAUUUUAUUUUAAAAUAUCUUUUUUAGAUAUUAUCUAUUUAAUUUCAAAAUAUAUAUUUUUUUAAGAUAACGGAUUUUAUUUUUCUAUUUAAUUUCAAAAAUUUAUUUCCUAACAGAUUUUAUUUUUCUAUUUAAUUUCAAAAGUAAUUU
This 2083-nucleotide long non-coding RNA is filed under the name Ananas comosus (pineapple). RNAcentral's name for it is "long non-coding RNA (ACOM_LNC000047)". Lineage: Eukaryota; Viridiplantae; Streptophyta; Magnoliopsida; Poales; Bromeliaceae. The record is from RNAcentral.